GGGCCCAUAGCUUAGACUGGCUGGAGCAUCUGUCUGAUAAGCAGAAGGUCGCCAGUUCGAAUCUGGCUGGGCCCA
This 75-nucleotide transfer RNA is filed under the name Thermoplasmata archaeon HGW-Thermoplasmata-2. RNAcentral's name for it is "tRNA-Ile". It matches the Rfam family "tRNA". From Rfam's summary of the family: Transfer RNA (tRNA) molecules are approximately 80 nucleotides in length. Their secondary structure includes four short double-helical elements and three loops (D, anti-codon, and T loops). The record is from RNAcentral. Lineage: Archaea; Methanobacteriati; Thermoplasmatota; Thermoplasmata.